Molecule: transfer RNA, 81 nt
Filed under: bacterium
Lineage: Bacteria
Description: tRNA-Leu
Rfam family: tRNA
About the family: Transfer RNA (tRNA) molecules are approximately 80 nucleotides in length.
Source: RNAcentral
GGGGACGUGGCGAAAUGGCAGACGCGCCAGACUUAGGAUCUGGUUUCGAAAGAAGUGUGGGUUCAAGUCCCACCGUCCCCA